AUAAUGGGUCAGCGACUUAUAUUCUGUAGCAAGGUUAACCGAAUAGGGGAGCCGAAGGGAAACCGAGUCUUAACUGGGCGUUAAGUUGCAGGGUAUAGACCCGAAACCCGGUGAUCUAGCCAUGGGCAGGUUGAAGGUUGGGUAACACUAACUGGAGGACCGAACCGACUAAUGUUGAAAAAUUAGCGGAUGACUUGUGGCUGGGGGUGAAAGGCCAAUCAAACCGGGAGAUAGCUGGUUCUCCCCGAAAGCUAUUUAGGUAGCGCCUCGUGAAUUCAUCUCCGGGGGUAGAGCACUGUUUCGGCAAGGGGGUCAUCCCGACUUACCAACCCGAUGCAAACUGCGAAUACCGGAGAAUGUUAUCACGGGAGACACACGGCGGGUGCUAACGUCCGUCGUGAAGAGGGAAACAACCCAGACCGCCAGCUAAGGUCCCAAAGUCAUGGUUAAGUGGGAAACGAUGUGGGAAGGCCCAGACAGCCAGGAUGUUGGCUUAGAAGCAGCCAUCAUUUAAAGAAAGCGUAAUAGCUCACUGGUCGAGUCGGCCUGCGCGGAAGAUGUAACGGGGCUAAACCAUGCACCGAAGCUGCGGCAGCGACGCUUAUGCGUUGUUGGGUAGGGGAGCGUUCUGUAAGCCUGUGAAGGUGUGCUGUGAGGCAUGCUGGAGGUAUCAGAAGUGCGAAUGCUGACAUAAGUAACGAUAAAGCGGGUGAAAAGCCCGCUCGCCGGAAGACCAAGGGUUCCUGUCCAACGUUAAUCGGGGCAGGGUGAGUCGACCCCUAAGGCGAGGCCGAAAGGCGUAGUCGAUGGGAAACAGGUUAAUAUUCCUGUACUUGGUGUUACUGCGAAGGGGGGACGGAGAAGGCUAUGUUGGCCGGGCGACGGUUGUCCCGGUUUAAGCGUGUAGGCUGGUUUUCCAGGCAAAUCCGGAAAAUCAAGGCUGAGGCGUGAUGACGAGGCACUACGGUGCUGAAGCGACAAAUGCCCUGCUUCCAGGAAAAGCCUCUAAGCAUCAGGUAACAUCAAAUCGUACCCCAAACCGACACAGGUGGUCAGGUAGAGAAUACCAAGGCGCUUGAGAGAACUCGGGUGAAGGAACUAGGCAAAAUGGUGCCGUAACUUCGGGAGAAGGCACGCUGAUAUGUAGGUGAAGUCCCUCGCGGAUGGAGCUGAAAUCAGUCGAAGAUACCAGCUGGCUGCAACUGUUUAUUAAAAACACAGCACUGUGCAAACACGAAAGUGGACGUAUACGGUGUGACGCCUGCCCGGUGC
RNAcentral lists this ribosomal RNA (1272 nucleotides) under Escherichia coli. Its description in RNAcentral is "partial 23S ribosomal RNA". It matches the Rfam family "Bacterial large subunit ribosomal RNA", at positions 612 to 1869 of the family's 2925-position model. The record is from RNAcentral. Lineage: Bacteria; Pseudomonadati; Pseudomonadota; Gammaproteobacteria; Enterobacterales; Enterobacteriaceae.